This 372-nucleotide ribosomal RNA is filed under the name uncultured bacterium. Its description in RNAcentral is "bacterial SSU rRNA". It matches the Rfam family "Bacterial small subunit ribosomal RNA", at positions 524 to 898 of the family's 1533-position model. The record is from RNAcentral.
CACGUAGGGGGCGAGCGUUGUUCGGAAUCAUUGGGCGUAAAGGGUGCGCAGGCGGCAUGCCAAGUCUGGUGUGAAAGGUCCCGGCUCAACCGGGGAAACGCAUUGGAAACUGGUAUGCUAGAGUACAGGAGGGGGAGUUGGAAUUCCAGGUGUAGGGGUGAAAUCUGUAGAUAUCUGGAAGAACACCGGUGGCGAAGGCGAACUUCUGGCCAUGUACUGACGCUGAGGCACGAAGGCGUGGGGAGCAAACAGGUUUAGAUACCCUGGUAGUCCACGCUGUAAACGAUGAGGGCUAGGUGUUGGGUAGCGAUAUUCAGUGCCGCAGCAAACGCAAUAAGCACUCCGCCUGGGGAGUACGGUCGCAAGACUAAA